RNAcentral lists this ribosomal RNA (781 nucleotides) under uncultured Actinomycetes bacterium. RNAcentral's name for it is "bacterial SSU rRNA". It matches the Rfam family "Bacterial small subunit ribosomal RNA", at positions 76 to 870 of the family's 1533-position model. Lineage: Bacteria; Bacillati; Actinomycetota; Actinomycetes. The record is from RNAcentral.
CAGCUUGCUGCGGGUACUCGAGUGGCGAACGGGUGAGUAACACGUGGGUGAUCUGCCUUGCACUUCGGGAUAAGCUUGGGAAACUGGGUCUAAUACCGGAUAGGACAGCUGUUUAGUGUCAGUUGUGGAAAGUUUUUUCGGUGCAAGAUGAGCUCGCGGCCUAUCAGCUUGUUGGUGGGGUAAUGGCCUACCAAGGCGUCGACGGGUAGCCGGCCUGAGAGGGUGUACGGCCACAUUGGGACUGAGAUACGGCCCAGACUCCUACGGGGGGCAGCAGUGGGGAAUAUUGCACAAUGGGCGGAAGCCUGAUGCAGCGACGCCGCGUGGGGGAUGAAGGCCUUCGGGUUGUAAACUCCUUUCGACAGGGACGAAGCGUAAGUGACGGUACCUGUAUAAGAAGCACCGGCUAACUACGUGCCAGCAGCCGCGGUAAUACGUAGGGUGCGAGCGUUGUCCGGAAUUACUGGGCGUAAAGAGCUCGUAGGUGGUUUGUCGCGUCGUCUGUGAAAUUCCGGGGCUUAACUCCGGGCGUGCAGGCGAUACGGGCUGACUUGAGUGCUGUAGGGGAGACUGGAAUUCCUGGUGUAGCGGUGAAAUGCGCAGAUAUCAGGAGGAACACCGAUGGCGAAGGCAGGUCUCUGGGCAGUAACUGACGCUGAGGAGCGAAAGCAUGGGUAGCGAACAGGAUUAGAUACCCUGGUAGUCCAUGCCGUAAACGGUGGGCGCUAGGUGUAGGGGGCUUCCACGUCUUCUGUGCCGUAGCUAACGCAUUAAGCGCCCC